ACGGCUCAGUAACACGUGGACAACCUACCCAAAGGUCUGGGAUAACUCCGGGAAACUGGGGAUAAUACCGGAUAGGUCAAGAGUACUGGAGGGGUUUUUUGAUUGAAAGCUCUGGCGCCUUUGGAUGGGUCUGCGGCUGAUUAGGUUGACGCCGGUGUAAAGUACCGGCGUGCCGAUUAUCAGUACGGGUUGUGGGAGCAAGAGCCCGGAGAUGGAUUCUGAGACACGAAUCCAGGCCCUACGGGGCGCAGCAGGCGCGAAAACUCUACAAUGCAGGCAACUGCGAUAGGGGAACAUCGAGUGGCAUCUACAUUAGGUGUCUGUCCAGCUGUCUAAAAAACGGCUGUUAGCAAGGGCCGGGCAAGACCGGUGCCAGCCGCCGCGGUAAUACCGGCGGCUCGAGUGGUGGCCGAUAUUAUUGAGUCUAAAGGGUCCGUAGCCGGCUUUGCAAGUCUUGUGGGAAAUCCAGCGGCUUAACCGUUGGGCGUCUGCGGGAUACUACAUUGCUUGGGACUGGGAGAGGUAGGAGGUACUCAGGGGGUAGGAGUGAAAUCCUGUAAUCCUCUGGGGACCACCGGUGGCGAAGGCGUCCUACCAGAACAGGUCCGACGGUGAGGGACGAAAGCUAGGGGCACGAACCGGAUUAGAUACCCGGGUAGUCCUAGCCGUAAACGAUGCCCGCUAGGUGUCACGGCAGUCGUGAACUGCCGUGGUGCCGUAGGGAAGCCGUGAAGCGGGCCACUUGGGAAGUACGACCGCAAGGUUGAAACUUAAAGGAAUUGGCGGGGGAGCAC
Molecule: ribosomal RNA, 794 nt
Filed under: uncultured Methanosarcinaceae archaeon
Lineage: Archaea; Methanobacteriati; Methanobacteriota; Methanomicrobia; Methanosarcinales; Methanosarcinaceae
Description: bacterial SSU rRNA
Rfam family: Archaeal small subunit ribosomal RNA
Source: RNAcentral